RNAcentral lists this unclassified non-coding RNA (307 nucleotides) under Cladobotryum sp. Its description in RNAcentral is "partial contains 5.8S ribosomal RNA, internal transcribed spacer 2, and large subunit ribosomal RNA". The stretch from base 1 to 71 matches the Rfam family "5.8S ribosomal RNA", at positions 84 to 154 of the family's 154-position model. The record is from RNAcentral. Lineage: Eukaryota; Fungi; Ascomycota; Sordariomycetes; Hypocreales; Hypocreaceae.
GUGAAUCAUCGAAUCUUUGAACGCACAUUGCGCCCGCCAGUAUUCUGGCGGGCAUGCCUGUUCGAGCGUCAUUUCAACCCUCGAGACCCCUCCGGGGGACUCGGUGUUGGGGACCGGCCCUGCCCAGCAGCGGGCGCCGUCCCCUAAAUACAGUGGCGGUCUCGCCGUAGCCUCCCGUGUGCAGUAUCUUUCAGAACCUCGCACUGGAGCUCGGCGCGGCCACGCCGUAAAACCCCGACUUUUCAAUGGUUGACCUCGAAUCAGGUAGGGAUACCCGCUGAACUUAAGCAUAUCAAUAAGCGGAGGA